This 85-nucleotide transfer RNA is filed under the name Candidatus Lokiarchaeum ossiferum. Its description in RNAcentral is "tRNA-Ser". It matches the Rfam family "tRNA". Rfam says of the family: Transfer RNA (tRNA) molecules are approximately 80 nucleotides in length. The record is from RNAcentral. Lineage: Archaea; Promethearchaeati; Promethearchaeota; Promethearchaeia; Promethearchaeales; Promethearchaeaceae.
GCACUCGUCGCCUAGUCGUAUGACGCUGGACUGGAAAUCCAGUGCGGUCCUCCGCCCGUGGGUUCAAAUCCCAUCGAGUGCGCCA